UUUUUUUUCGUGCCGAUGAAAAAGGUGGGGCUGCACUUUUUUCUUUGCGGUCUGCGUUGCCUGUUGCCAUUUGCACCGACACGUGGCCAAGGCGACAAGGCGUGAAAAAGACCAAAGAGCACCCGAUCGAGUCGGCCAUGAGCGCAGGCAUGGGGCAAGGCAGCGCCGCGCGCGCGGCGGGCACGAUCACGAUGACAGCAGAUGGGCGACGCUGGGCGGGAUACUCUCGGUGGGCUGUGGCGAAUUGGGCAUGCUCGUCGUGCGGCGCCCAGUGCUUGCGGAUCGGCUAACCGACGACUCGAAUCCAGAAUGUUAGACGGAUUGUUUGAUUCCUAUGAUUCAUUAUUAAACAAUUCUGUGUUGAUUAGGCGA
Molecule: long non-coding RNA, 372 nt
Filed under: Pandoravirus salinus
Description: putative ncRNA
Source: RNAcentral